UCAACCGUAAGUCUACAAGUUCUCAUU
Molecule: non-coding RNA, 27 nt
Filed under: Mus musculus (house mouse)
Lineage: Eukaryota; Metazoa; Chordata; Mammalia; Rodentia; Muridae
Source: RNAcentral